This 429-nucleotide ribosomal RNA is filed under the name Acidobacteriota bacterium. Its description in RNAcentral is "Acidobacteria bacterium partial 16S ribosomal RNA". It matches the Rfam family "Bacterial small subunit ribosomal RNA", at positions 355 to 776 of the family's 1533-position model. Lineage: Bacteria; Pseudomonadati; Acidobacteriota. The record is from RNAcentral.
UGGGGAAUUUUGGACAAUGGGGGAAACCCUGAUCCAGCCAUCCCGCGUGUGCGAUGAAGGCCUUCGGGUUGUAAAGCACUUUUGGCAGGAAAGAAACGUCAUGGGUUAAUACCCCGUGAAACUGACGGUACCUGCAGAAUAAGCACCGGCUAACUACGUGCCAGCAGCCGCGGUAAUACGUAGGGUGCAAGCGUUAAUCGGAAUUACUGGGCGUAAAGCGUGCGCAGGCGGUUCGGAAAGAAAGAUGUGAAAUCCCAGAGCUCAACUUUGGAACUGCAUUUUUAACUACCGGGCUAGAGGGUGUCAGAGGGAGGGUGAAUUCCGCGUGUAGCAGUGAAAUGCGUAGAUAUGCGGAGGAACACCGAUGGCGAAGGCAGCCUCCUGGGAUAACACUGACGCUCAUGCACGAAAGCGUGGGGAGCAAACAGG